UGUGAGCGUGAUGAGUAGAGGCAAAUAUACUUGUAUGAAGUCCAGACUGCAGCAGUAACUUUUGCCUUGUAUUUGUAUCCAUUCCAUGCAGUCAUUAAAAGAGAGACAACUGGCUGAAUUGUGUCCAGAGCCUUAUCUUCCACCUACACCUUACCAGAACACAAUGCAGAAAGGUACCAGUGCAGAACCGGUUACAUGCGCUAUCGGGCAAAAACUAUGGGGCAAAACAGACAAGGUUGGCUUAGAUUGUUGACAACAUGAAAACUGUAUUUCGUCUCCAAAUGUUUAUUGUUAACAUUAAUUCAUUUGCACAAUGAGCACUUGUUGUCUCUCAAAUACAUCAUUACGGUUGUUGGUUAGAUAGUUAGUGAAUUUUUGCCAUAUUAGCAUUGACAUGACAUAAGUCAAAACACCUCCAAACAAG
This 424-nucleotide long non-coding RNA is filed under the name Salmo salar (Atlantic salmon). RNAcentral describes it as "lncRNA (ENSSSAG00000116381.1)". Lineage: Eukaryota; Metazoa; Chordata; Actinopteri; Salmoniformes; Salmonidae. The record is from RNAcentral.